UAUUCUAUUCGAAUUGUUCCCAGUCCUCGGUCACUACAGUAGAAGGCAGUCUAAGAGGUUGGGCGUUCAGGCUUCCAACCCCAGAUGCAGGUCCAGGAGGUGGGGCGUAUAGGAUUCCAACCCCAGAAACAGGUCCAGGAGGUGGGACAUAUAGGUUUCCAAUACCAGACGCAGGUCCAGUAGGUGGGGGAUAUAGGCUUCCAACCCCAGAAGCAGGUCCAGAAGGAGGAUUCGGGCUUCCAACCCGAGACACUGGUCCAGGAGGUGGGAUGUUCGGGCUUCCAACCAUAGACGCAGGUCCAGGAGGUGGGGGAUAUAGGCUUCCAACCCCAGAAGCAGGUCCAGGAGGAGCAUUCAGGCUUCCAACCCCAGACACUGGUCCAGGAGAUGGGACGUUCGGGCUUCCAACCGUAGACGUAGGUCCAGGAGGUGGGGGAUAUAGACUUCCAACCCCAGAAGCAGGUUCAGGAGGAGGGGGAUAUAGGUUUCCAACCCCAGACACUGGUCCAAGAGGUGGGGGAUAUAGGCUUCCAACCCCAGAAGCAGGUCCACGAGGAGGGGGAUAUAGGUUUCCAACCCCAGACACUGGUCUAGGAGGUGGGACAUUUGGGCUUCCAACCCUAGACGCAGGUCCAGGAGGUGGGACAUUUGGGCUUCCAACCCUAGACGCAGGUCCAGGAGGUGGGACAUUUGGGCUUCCAACCCUAGACGCAGGUCCAGGAGGUGGGACAUUUGGGCUUCCAACCCUAGACGCAGGUCCAGGAGGUGGGGCAUUUGGGCUUCCAACCCCAGAUGCAGGUGUAGAAGGUGGGGGGUUCAAACUUGCAACCCCAGACGUAGUUACAGGAGGUGGGGCAUUCAAGCUUCCAACGCCAGAUGCAGGUCUAGGAGGUGGGGCGUCCAG
RNAcentral lists this long non-coding RNA (904 nucleotides) under Capsicum annuum. RNAcentral's name for it is "long non-coding RNA (CANN_LNC016242)". The record is from RNAcentral. Lineage: Eukaryota; Viridiplantae; Streptophyta; Magnoliopsida; Solanales; Solanaceae.